CAUGGGGGCUGCUCCACAUGCAGUCGAACGGAAGGCCGGAUGGGGACUUAGAGCGGCGAACGCGUGCGUAACACGCGUGCAACCUACCUUUAUCUGUGGGAUAGCCUUUCGAAAGGAAGAUUAAUACCCCAUAAGAUAACUAUUUGCAUCAGUUAUGAUUGAAAGCUUUUUGCGGUUAGGGGAGGGGCCCGCAGGCGAACCAGCUGGUUGGUGAGGUAAUGGCUCACCAAGGCGGUGAUCUUUAGCGGGCCUGAGAGGGAGAUCGGGCCACAUUGGGACUGAGACACGGCCCAGACUCCUACGGGAGGCAGCAGUGGGGGAUUAUUGGACAAUGGGUGAGAGCCUGAUCCAGCCCUCCCGCGGGAGGAAUGACGGCCUUCUGGAUGAAAACUUCUUUUAGCACCCGGAAGGCGGGCACUCGAACGGUUGGCGGAAGUGGCUGUACGAAGAAGGGCCGGCUCACUCCAACCCAGCGGCAUCGGCCUAGGGAGGGAGGGUUUUUCAUCUUUAUUUAUCGUUUUUGGAGCUUAAGUGGUCGGAAUCGUUCCCCCAGGGGCGCCUCCGAUUGCCCGAGAUUUCCCGGGCCAUUACGGGCGGGUUGGUGAAAAAAGGUGAAUCGGAGUUCUAAGGAAUGCAGCGAAAUCCUAAGAAUACGUAAAGCGAAUAAAACUGUGGCCCGUAUCACCGAAACCCGUUAAGCGAGCUUUAGGGGGCGCAUCACCCAUGGGCCCUUUCGUAAUAACGGGAACCUGCCUCUAGUUAACGCGUGGGGAAAGUUUGGGGCUU
RNAcentral lists this ribosomal RNA (786 nucleotides) under Haloanella sp. EK-I68. RNAcentral describes it as "bacterial SSU rRNA". The stretch from base 4 to 500 matches the Rfam family "Bacterial small subunit ribosomal RNA", at positions 39 to 535 of the family's 1533-position model. The record is from RNAcentral. Lineage: Bacteria; Pseudomonadati; Bacteroidota; Flavobacteriia; Flavobacteriales; Flavobacteriaceae.